CGCCACACUGGCGCCCUGGAAGUCCCCCUGCGCCGACGCCUUAUUGGUCUGCGGGGGAGAGAGGGGGCGGAGUCAGAACAGAGUCGGUGUUUUGGUGAUGCCGCACGGCGAUAAAACUGUCGCUCCCGAAUAGUUCUGCUGCUGUAAUCCCCCUAAAUGUCCCUGUAAUCCCGGCUAUAUCGCAGGCGCAAUUACGCCACUGCGCGACCCUGCCGAAAACUCUCCCUCUCUCCCGGACACUGUGCGGCAGGACAGCGGCUCCCAAACAGGGGCCGGGACCCACGGGGGAGUCACUGAGAAAAUGCAGGACGGGGUCUAAAUAUUUAUAUCUGGCAACACUGGCUGUACUUACCUUUUGGGAAAGGUAAAAAGCAGCGAUCCCCAGCGGCCAGAAGCAACAGAGCAUGGAGAAGAACGCCAGUCCCAGGUAGUCCUGCGGGAUCAUUAGCGGGAAGUCGCUCUCGCUGUCCGUGUCGCUGAAGUCUUCGCUCGAAGAGUCCUGACAAGACAACAGAUGCGCGCAGAUGUUAGGCUGUGUUUGUACUUACUCCUGCUGAUUAAAAAAAAAAAAAAAAAAAUUUGUUAUAAAAGAACGCAUUCUCUCGCAGAGUCAGGGGUCAAUUCCAUUUCAGUUCAGCGAGGCCAGGGACUAACUGAAAAAAAAAUCUGACCAUGAAUUUGAAAAAAAAAAAAAAAAAAAAAAAAAACAA
This is a long non-coding RNA of Anguilla rostrata (American eel), 710 nucleotides long. RefSeq lists it as uncharacterized. Lineage: Eukaryota; Metazoa; Chordata; Actinopteri; Anguilliformes; Anguillidae. The record is from RefSeq and is a predicted model, not a curated record. The transcript has 3 exons.